GGAGGCCUAACAGGUUGCAGGGAAUGAGGCUGAUGAGGAAAAAUCUGACCAAAGAGCAAGAUACCCCCAGGUCCUUGGAGAAGAACUGAACAUGAGCACCAGACCCCAUUCGACAGUGUCAGUAUUUCACUGCACCUCGAUUUAUGCUUGACUCCACUGUUUAAUAACUACCUGUGGUUUUCUUUCCUUAGUGCCACCUUCUCUCCCACUUGCUGGAUUCAGUCACCUCCCCAACUGUGCCUUGUCUCCUUCCCUGCUAGUCAAUGAGCUCAGGCCUCCAUCCUUGAUGGCUUGGCUGUGAACAGUAGCCUCCUGUCUGAACUUUUGCCUUCAUCCAGUCAAAUGCACUCACACCACAGACAGGCUGAUCAUAUACAAUGUAGACUGGAUCCUGUCACUUCCUUACUUGAAACGUUUCAGUGACUUCUAUGAUUUUAAGAUAAACCCAAACUUGCUAAUAGGCUCACAGGGCCGACACCACCCACUCUAACCCCCAUGUGUCCCUUGGCCUGGGUGCAUGCCACCCACAAAUUUCACCCUCAGACUCAGAUGCUUCUGGGUUUCUGCCUCCUUCUUUGACCACACCUGUUUGCUCCCACACCAUUGCCCCAGACUCACUUUUCAGAGCCCAGAUUCCAAGUCACACCACCCUCUGAGGCCUUUUUUUUUGGAGUUGGGACAGACUUCAUGUGUCCAUGGGGCACCUGUUCCUCCUGUCCUGACAGUUACCUCACCACACUGAUUCUCUGUCCCCUUUAGGCUCUGAGCUCCAGGAGACGGUUGGCUGUGCCUACAGUCUUGUUUAUCGUGGUUGCUGGCACAGCAUCUGGUCCAGAACAGAUGCUCAAGUACUGGCUGAAUAAAUUUUCCUCUAUGAAUCAUUUUUAAUAUUUCUGCUCCUAUGUUCACAGGAGGCUUAUUUGCAAUAGCCCAAAGGUAGAGACCACUCAAGCAUUCACUGAUGAAUGAAUAUAUAAACAAUGUGGUCUACUCAUACAAUGGAAUAUUGCCUACCCUUGAAAGGGGAUGAAAUUCUGACACGUGCUACAACAUGGAUGAACCUUGAGGACAUCAUGUGAAGUGAAAUAAGCCAGACGCAAAAGAACAAAUAUUGUAUGAAUUAUCUCCUCCUCCUUUUCCUUCUCCUCCUCCUCCUUCUCCUUCUUCUUCUUUUCUGAGACAGAGUCUUGCUCUGUUGCCCAGGCUGGAGUGCACUGGCUUGAUCUCAGCUCACUGCAACCUCCGCCUUCCAGGUUCAAGCAAUUCUCCUGCCUCAUCCUCCCGAGUAGCUGGAAUUACAGGCAUGCACCACCAUGCCCAGCUAAAUUUUGUAUUUUUAGUAGAUGGGGUUUCACCAUGUCGGCGAGACUGGUCUCGAACUCCUGACCUCAGGGGAUCUGCCCGCCUCAGUUUCCCAAAGUGCUGGGAUUACAGGUAUGGGCCACCAUGCCUGGCUGAAUCCACUUCUAAGAGGUACCUAGAGUCAUCCAAUUCACAGGGAUAGAGAGUGGAACAAUGUUUGCCAGGGCCUGGGGAAGGAGGGAAUGGAGAGGGUUCGUGUUAAAUGGGAAAACGAGAAUGUUCUGUGGAUGGGUGGUGGUGACAGUCACCCAACAAUGUGAAUGUGCUUAAUGCCACUGAGUUGUGUGCCGAAAAUGGGUAAGAUGGUAAAUUUUGUGUGAUGUAUAUUUUACCACAAUAAAAAUAACUAUACUG
Molecule: long non-coding RNA, 1716 nt
Filed under: Macaca fascicularis (crab-eating macaque)
Lineage: Eukaryota; Metazoa; Chordata; Mammalia; Primates; Cercopithecidae
Description: lncRNA (ENSMFAG00000052823.1)
Source: RNAcentral